This 220-nucleotide ribosomal RNA is filed under the name Klebsiella pneumoniae. RNAcentral describes it as "partial 23S ribosomal RNA". It matches the Rfam family "Bacterial large subunit ribosomal RNA", at positions 1155 to 1374 of the family's 2925-position model. The record is from RNAcentral. Lineage: Bacteria; Pseudomonadati; Pseudomonadota; Gammaproteobacteria; Enterobacterales; Enterobacteriaceae.
CGGCCUGCGCGGAAGAUGUAACGGGGCUAAACCAUGCACCGAAGCUGCGGCAGCGACACUAUGUGUUGUUGGGUAGGGGAGCGUUCUGUAAGCCUGCGAAGGUGACCUGUGAGGGUUGCUGGAGGUAUCAGAAGUGCGAAUGCUGACAUAAGUAACGAUAAAGCGGGUGAAAAGCCCGCUCGCCGGAAGACCAAGGGUUCCUGUCCAACGUUAAUCGGGG